Pocillopora verrucosa is the source of this 261-nucleotide non-coding RNA. Lineage: Eukaryota; Metazoa; Cnidaria; Anthozoa; Scleractinia; Pocilloporidae. The record is from RefSeq and is a predicted model, not a curated record.
AGAUGGGGAGCAACCGAACCAACAGGGAAUAGAAGACAAUGAACAACAAGGCGGCGAGGGAGGCCAAGGAGAGGGAGAGCAAGUGAACCAGCACGGAAUGGAAGACAAUCAAGAACAUGGCGGCGAUGGAGGAGAAAUUGAGGGUGAAGAAAUUGAACUGGCAAGUAUUGGUGUGCAUCAUCCACAACAAGGCCAAGGAGAUGGAGAACAAUUAGACCAACAGGGCAUGGAAGACAUUGAACAACAUGGCGGCUUGGGAGG